CGGGAGUUCGCACUUCCAAGUUUAACUUGGGAACUCCGAACUAUACCGAGGACGCAAGUCCGAACUUUGAUUCUUGGUAUUGAGAAAUGCGCAGUCUCUGAAUUGGGACACAGUUGUCCGUUUAAAACUUCUGUAACGGGAACGAUUUUUUAUACAGAAAAGUGAUUGGACCUAUUUACCAGAAAACCGCAUGCAUGUUGGUAGACAUGGCGGAUAUACGAAAACGUCCCUGUGUGAGUUCCACUGAGAAUAACCUAAAAGAUAAUAUUUCCCGAGAAGGCGGCACUGGCACAUCUGCAUUAUUUAAGUUAUUUGCUGCAGCUUUCUAUGGGCUCUCUUCUUUCCUUAUUGUUGUCGUUAACAAGAGUGUUCUCACUAAUUACAGAUUCCCGUCCUCUUUAGCAGUGGGAAUUGGACAAAUGUUUGCAACGGUUGUUUGUGCUGCAAGGAGCAAAAUCAUUACAUGUUGUAGAUUUCCCAGAUUUUGAUAAGCAUGUACAUCAUAAGGUAGGUACAGCCUGUGCACACUCAAGGC
Long non-coding RNA from Cyprinus carpio (common carp), 535 nucleotides. RefSeq lists it as uncharacterized. NCBI's taxonomy places the organism in Eukaryota, Metazoa, Chordata, Actinopteri, Cypriniformes, Cyprinidae. The record is from RefSeq and is a predicted model, not a curated record. The transcript has 3 exons.